UGAUCUCAUCAGGUAAAGGUGUGUUAAAUGGAAGGGCAAGUCUCACCACUGAGAGGAAAACAUCACUGGUCCACCUCUGCAUCAGGUCAGCUAUGUUGAUCAGUACUGUCCCAGGGAUGCUGGGAGCAGAGAUGAACUCCCCUGACCUGGUACCAUCUAUGGAGUUGUCAUUUUAAUAUCAGUUUAACCCCAUUACUGCUAUAACACAUAAACCAUGUUAAUAGAAUGAAAUGGAUCCAGGUUCCAUUUAUUCUACAUUAGAUUUACUGCCUGUGGAACACUUCUCCAAAGUGGUCUGAAAUCAAGAUGACUGCAGGUCUGAAUCCCAAACUAAUGGGGGGAAAUGUAUCCAUCUAAUAAGAUGGUAUUUAGAGAUAUGGAGAAAAACAUCACAAACUCUACUAUUGGGGUGAACAAAUUCCAUUAACAUACAUACGGGGCAGUCAGAAACAUUUUGUUACGUUACAGCCUCAUUCUACAGUGGAUUAAAUAAAUCAUGUUCCUAUUCAAUCCACACACCAUACCCCAUAAUGACAUCACAAUACCCCAUAAUGACCUCACAAUACUCCAUAAUGACAUCACAAUACCCCAUAAUGACAUCACAAUACCCCAUAAUGACCUCACAAUACUCCAUAAUGACAUCACAAUACUCCAUAAUGACAUCACAAUACUCCAUAAUGACAUCACAAUACUCCAUAAUGACGUCACAAUAUCUCAUAAUGACAAAGCGAAAACAUGUUUAUUUUUAUUUUUUUUUGCAAAUGAUUAACCGAAAUACCUUAUAUAAGUAUUCAGAACCUUUGCUAUGAGACGUGAGAUUGAGCUCCGGUGCAUCCUGUUUCCAUUGAUCAUCCUUUUAGAUGUUUCUACAACAGGAUUGGAGUCCACCUGUGGUAAAUUCAAUUGAUAGGACAUGAUUUGGAAAAGCACACACCUGUCUGUAUAAGGUCCCACAGUUGACAGGUCAUGUCAGAGAAAAAUACCUCCCUGACCAAGGCCCUUCUCCCCCCAUUGCUCAGUUUGGCCAGACGCCCAGCUCUAGGAAGAGUCUUGGUGGUUACAAACCUCUUCCAUUUAAGAAUUAUGGCCAUUGUGGUCUUGGGGACAUUCCAUACCGAAAACAUUUAAUGGUACCCUUCCGCAGAUUGGUGCCUUGACACAAUCCUGUCUCGGAGCUCUACAGACAAUUCCUUCGACCUCAUGGCUUGGUGAUGAAACAAAGAUUGAACUCUUUGGCCUGAAUGCCAAGAGUCACAUCUGGUGGAAACCUGGCACCAUCCCUACGGUGAAGCAUGGUGGUGCAGCAUCAUGCUGUGGGGACGUUUUUUAGUGGCAGGGACUGGGAGACUAGUCAGGAUUGAGGGAAUGAUGAACAGAGCAAAGUACAGAGAGAUCCUUGAUGAAAACCUGCUCCAGAGCACUCAGGAACUCUGACUGGGGUGAAGGUUCACCUUCCAACAGGACAAUGACCCUAAGCACACAGCCAAGACAAUGCAGGAGUGGCUUCGGUACAAGUCUCUGAAUAUCCUUGAGAGGCCCAGCCAGAGCCCGGACUUGAACACGAUCUGACGAUCCACUGAAUCCUCAGAAUUGAGUCAUGUUGGGGAUGGAUGAUCUUUGACAUCGUUCAGUAAUUGAGUCAUGUAGGGGAUUGAUGAUCUUUGACAUCGUUCAGUAAUUGAGUCAUGUAGGGGAUUGAUGAUCUUUGACAUCUUUCAGUAAUUGAGUCAUGUAGGGGAUGGAUGAUCUUUGACAUCUUUCAGUAAUUGAGUCAUGUAGGGGAUGGAUGAUCUUUGACAUCUUUCAGUAAUUGAGUCAUGUUGGGGAUGGAUGAUCUUUGACAUCUUUCAGUAAUUGAGUCAUGUAGGGGAUGGAUGAUCUUUGACAUCGUUCAGUUCUUUCUCUGACGGGUCUGAGUUUGUGUGAGUGGCGUGUUUUUCUUUCAGAGUUUGUGAUGAUUGGUUGUGGUAGAAGGUUCCUGUUGUCAGACUGGAGGAACUGAUGGUCAACUGGAGGCUGUUGGGUUCUUCUCUCAAUCAGGGGUCAGAGGUUGAGGGUUCAGUGUGCUGAUGUGUAGUUGUUGUAUCAUGGUUUUUGGUUAACAUGUCCUGUUGCUGGGUAAAGUUCAUGAUGACGUUGAACACAUCUUUAUCAAGGGUGCCAAUACUUCUGGACCUAACUGCACACUGUAGUGGUGGGGCAGCAUGCAUCACAUGUCUCCAUGACCCUGUGGGCUGAACCCUCAAUGCUGCAGAGGCCCUAUGCUCCUCUAGGAGGUUGUUGAGGCCCUAUGCUCCUCUAGGAGGUUGUUGAGGCCCUAUGCUCCUCUAGGAGGUUGUUGAGGCCCUAUGCUCCUUUAGGAGGUUGUUGAGGCCCUAUGCUCCUCUAGGAGGCUGUUGAGGCCCUAUGCUCCUCUAGGAGGCUGUUGAGGCCCUAUGCUCCUCUAGGAGGUUGUUGAGGUCCUAUGCUCCUCUAGGAGGUUGUUGAGGCCCUAUGCUCCUCUAGGAGGUUGUUGAGGUCCUCUGCUCCUCUAGGAACUAAAAGAGAAGUAAGUCAUAUGUCACCACCACCCAAUAUGACUUCAUACAUCUCCAGCUUAUUGAAAUUACAGCCUGAAAACUCAGUGUCUUUUUUCCCUUCAUGUUCCUGUACUCACUCAGGUUGUACCAUUGAUAUAAAAAGCAUUUGACACAACUGUUGUGUUAAAUGGGUUGUACAACCCGAGAGGGUAUGUGGACAAUAUGUGUUUGUUUUCAGGUUGAAGUUGUCCCCCAUCCAGCCCUCCUCUAGAGGAGUGAGGAGAAUGAUAUCAACUCAUGUGUUUCCAGGUUACUUCAGUAUGAUCCUAUGAACCAAUCUGAAGUCAGAUGGGGCUUCUACAUGAAACAGGACAUUUCAUUGAUAGGACCGUGGGAAAGGUGGGUCUCCAUCAACCAUGUUAGAAACUGAUUGACAUCAUCAACCAUAUUAACAAGUGUGUGAACAUAUUCAUAUUCAGUAUGGAAAAGUACCUGAGGAAAUAAAACACAUUUUAUGAAACCCAUGAGAGAUAUAUUUAUAAUGUAUAUUUAUCCUUCAAAGAGCGACUACUUUGUGAGGUUCAGCCUUUCGUUGGUGAAUGUUCUCAGAAAGGGGGACAUUGGGGAAUCUGAAUAGAUAAGACCUGACAAAAUACUACCUCUAUGUCCUGUGUUCUACAUCCUGGGUAUUACUGUCAUCACCACAGCAGAUAACUGUGUUCUACAUCCUGGGUAUUACUGUCAUCACCUCAGCAGAUAGAUAACUGUGUUCUACAUCCUGGGUAUUACUGUCAUCACCACAGCAGCUAAAUAACUGUGUUCUACAUCCUGGGUAUUACUGUCAUCACCACAGCAGCUAGAUAACUGUGUUUUACAUCCUGUAUUAAUGUCAUCACCACAGCAGCUAGAUAACUGUGUUCUACAUCCUGGGUAUUACUGUCAUCACCACAGCAGCUAAAUAACUGUGUUCUACAUCCUGGGUAUUACUGUCAUCACCACAGCAGAUAGAUAACUGUGUUCUACAUCCUGGGUAUUACUGUCAUCACCACAGCAGCUAGAUAACUGUGUUUUACAUCCUGGGUAUUAAUGUCAUCACCACAGCAGCUAGAUAACUGUGUUCUACAUCCUGGGUAUUACUGUCAUCACCACAGCAGCUAAAUAACUGUGUUCUACAUCCUGGGUAUUACUGUCAUCACCACAGCAGAUAGAUAACUGUGUUCUACAUCCUGGGUAUUACUGUCAUCACCACAGCAGCUAGAUAACUGUGUUUUACAUCCUGGGUAUUAAUGUCAUCACCACAGCAGCUAGAUAACUGUGUUCUACAUCCUGGGUAUUACUGUCAUCACCACAGCAGAUAGAUAACUGUUGAUGUAAGACUCCAAGCCAAACAUACUGCAAACCAACCAUUUUGAAUUGCAGGUUUAUUCACAGGGUCCCAGUCAUCAUGUGACUCUCUAAUGGAUUCCAAUGAAAACCUUGUAGACUGAUAUAGGACACUUUUAUCCAAAGGUGAAUGUCUUUAAACUGCAUUGUUCUCAUGAUGUGUGUGUAGCAGUGUGAUGUUGUUCCACUAGAUUACACACCAAGUUGCACACAAGGACCAGUUCAAAUAGGUCAAGAGGGGAUGUUAAUUAGUUUGAUAAUAAUAAUAAUUCAGUGUGUUUUUUUAUUUAAUUACAGCUGCAUAGAUAAUGUUAUUUUUUGGUGUACAAACACUUUUUCAUAUCUAUAUAAUAAAUACACUUGAUUGUAAAAGUGUUGUAUAUUUUGGUUUGGUCCAUCGCGGGUUUCUGUAUUUCUGUUCGCCCUUAUUGUUCUCUCUUGCCUGACCUUUGUUGGAUUCUGUAUUUUACAUUAUAGCCAUUAGCAUAUAUAGGAUUAAAUAUGAUCUGAUGUUGGUUGUGUGAGGUGUCUGCAUUUGUGCACUGGAGCAUCAUUAUGAGAUUAAACAACUGCUUGCUACUUGCCUGUUUGUGUGUGACAAGAACUGAGUAACAUGGUGUGACCUGCAUGUUGCAAAACUGUAGAUAACAGCCCAGCAGAUGCUUUGUCCUUGUGUUUGUAUGUAACAAUAUUGAGCACAUGGUGUGACUUGCUGUAACUUACAAAGUUGUGAUAGGGAGGGGUGGUCAUCACGAGGUUUAACUGAGAUGGAAAAAUACUGAACAACACAAUAGCAGGAACUGAGCAACUGUUCUAACUAGGCUGCGAUACCAGAACAGUAAGGAUCUAUACAUCGACGGAGGGAGGAAGAAGCGCCAAGAGGCGGGGACCAGCCUGAGCGCCUGCGAUAGGCUGGGCAAGUUUAAACCACGCCCAGUCUCUACUGUGAUAGGCCAACAGACGGGUUGGAACUAUGUCUAUCAUAAUGUGUAUAAGAACACUGUCUACGUACAUCCUGUCAGUUCUCUGUUCUGCCCUGCGUGGUAUUACAGUGAGCCCGUAUAUACGAAAGUUGCAUUUGCCAUUUAUUACUUAGCUAAUAAAAAAUACAUAGUAUAAAA
This is a long non-coding RNA of Oncorhynchus tshawytscha (Chinook salmon), 5023 nucleotides long. The record is from Ensembl. NCBI's taxonomy places the organism in Eukaryota, Metazoa, Chordata, Actinopteri, Salmoniformes, Salmonidae.